GGGUUGUGAGGUUAAGCGACUAAGCGUACACGGUGGAUGCCCUGGCAGUCAGAGGCGAUGAAGGACGUGCUAAUCUGCGAUAAGCGCCGGUAAGGUGAUAUGAACCGUUAUAACCGGCGAUUUCCGAAUGGGGAAACCCAGUGUGAUUCGUCACACUAUCAUUAACUGAAUCCAUAGGUUAAUGAGGCGAACCGGGGGAACUGAAACAUCUAAGUACCCCGAGGAAAAGAAAUCAACCGAGAUUCCCCCAGUAGCGGCGAGCGAACGGGGAGGAGCCCAGAGCCUGAAUCAGCAUGUGUGUUAGUGGAAGCGUCUGGAAAGGCGCGCGAUACAGGGUGACAGCCCCGUACACAAAAGCGCAUGUGCUGUGAGCUCGAUGAGUAGGGCGGGACACGUGGUAUCCUGUCUGAAUAUGGGGGGACCAUCCUCCAAGGCUAAAUACUCCUGACUGACCGAUAGUGAACCAGUACCGUGAGGGAAAGGCGAAAAGAACCCCGGCGAGGGGAGUGAAAAAGAACCUGAAACCGUGUACGUACAAGCAGUGGGAGCACCCUUUUGGGUGUGACUGCGUACCUUUUGUAUAAUGGGUCAGCGACUUAUAUUCUGUAGCAAGGUUAACCGAAUAGGGGAGCCGGAGGGAAACCGAGUCUUAAUUGGGCGUUAAGUUGCAGGGUAUAGACCCGAAACCCGGUGAUCUAGCCAUGGGCAGGUUGAAGGUUGGGUAACACUAACUGGAGGACCGAACCGACUAAUGUUGAAAAAUUAGCGGAUGACCUGUGGCUGGGGGUGAAAGGCCAAUCAAACCGGGAGAUAGCUGGUUCUCCCCGAAAGCUAUUUAGGUAGCGCCUCGUGAAUUCAUCUCCGGGGGUAGAGCACUGUUUCGGCUAGGGGGCCAUCCCGGCUUACCAACCCGAUGCAAACUGCGAAUACCGGAGAAUGUUAUCACGGGAGACACACGGCGGGUGCUAACGUCCGUCGUGAAGAGGGAAACAACCCAGACCGCCAGCUAAGGUCCCAAAGUCAUGGUUAAGUGGGAAACGAUGUGGGAAGGCCCAGACAGCCAGGAUGUUGGCUUAGAAGCAGCCAUCAUUUAAAGAAAGCGUAAUAGCUCACUGGUCGAGUCGGCCUGCGCGGAAGAUGUAACGGGGCUAAACCAU
RNAcentral lists this ribosomal RNA (1157 nucleotides) under Salmonella enterica subsp. enterica serovar Bonariensis. Its description in RNAcentral is "partial 23S ribosomal RNA". It matches the Rfam family "Bacterial large subunit ribosomal RNA", at positions 1 to 1190 of the family's 2925-position model. The record is from RNAcentral. Lineage: Bacteria; Pseudomonadati; Pseudomonadota; Gammaproteobacteria; Enterobacterales; Enterobacteriaceae.